CCUAAUACAUGCAAGUCGAGCGGACCGACGGGAGCUUGCUCCCUUAGGUCAGCGGCGGACGGGUGAGUAACACGUGGGUAACCUGCCUGUAAGACUGGGAUAACUCCGGGAAACCGGGGCUAAUACCGGAUGCUUGAUUGAACCGCAUGGUUCAAUYAUAAAAGGUGGCUUUUAGCUACCACUUACAGAUGGACCCGCGGCGCAUUAGCUAGUUGGUGAGGUAACGGCUCACCAAGGCGACGAUGCGUAGCCGACCUGAGAGGGUGAUCGGCCACACUGGGACUGAGACACGGCCCAGACUCCUACGGGAGGCAGCAGUAGGGAAUCUUCCGCAAUGGACGAAAGUCUGACGGAGCAACGCCGCGUGAGUGAUGAAGGUUUUCGGAUCGUAAAACUCUGUUGUUAGGGAAGAACAAGUACCGUUCGAAUAGGGCGGYACCUUGACGGUACCUAACCAGAAAGCCACGGCUAACUACGUGCCAGCAGCCGCGGUAAUACGUAGGUGGCAAGCGUUGUCCGGAAUUAUUGGGCGUAAAGCGCGCGCAGGCGGUUUCUUAAGUCUGAUGUGAAAGCCCCCGGCUCAACCGGGGAGGGUCAUUGGAAACUGGGGAACUUGAGUGCAGAAGAGGAGAGUGGAAUUCCACGUGUAGCGGUGAAAUGCGUAGAGAUGUGGAGGAACACCAGUGGCGAAGGCGACUCUCUGGUCUGUAACUGACGCUGAGGCGCGAAAGCGUGGGGAGCGAACAGGAUUAGAUACCCUGGUAGUCCACGCCGUAAACGAUGAGUGCUAAGUGUUAGAGGGUUUCCGCCCUUUAGUGCUGCAGCAAACGCAUUAAGCACUCCGCCUGGGGAGUACGGUCGCAAGACUGAAACUCAAAGGAAUUGACGGGGGCCCGCACAAGCGGUGGAGCAUGUGGUUUAAUUCGAAGCAACGCGAAGAACCUUACCAAGGUCUUGACAUCCUCUGACAACCCUAGAGAUAGGGCUUCCCCUUCGGGGGCAGAGUGACAGGUGGUGCAUGGUUGUCGUCAGCUCGUGUCGUGAGAUGUUGGGUUAAGUCCCGCAACGAGCGCAACCCUUGAUCUUAGUUGCCAGCAUUCAGUUGGGCACUCUAAGGUGACUGCCGGUGACAAACCGGAGGAAGGUGGGGAUGACGUCAAAUCAUCAUGCCCCUUAUGACCUGGGCUACACACGUGCUACAAUGGGCAGAACAAAGGGCAGCGAAGCCGCGAGGCUAAGCCAAUCCCACAAAUCUGUUCUCAGUUCGGAUCGCAGUCUGCAACUCGACUGCGUGAAGCUGGAAUCGCUAGU
This 1311-nucleotide ribosomal RNA is filed under the name Bacillus sp. FPZSP142. Its description in RNAcentral is "bacterial SSU rRNA". It matches the Rfam family "Bacterial small subunit ribosomal RNA", at positions 47 to 1339 of the family's 1533-position model. Lineage: Bacteria; Bacillati; Bacillota; Bacilli; Caryophanales; Bacillaceae. The record is from RNAcentral.